UACGAAGGGGGCUAGCGUUGUUCGGAAUUACUGGGCGUAAAGCGCACGUAGGCGGGUUUGUAAGUAGGGGGUGAAAUCCCAGAGCUCAACUCUGGAACUGCCUUCUAGACUGCAAGCCUGGAGGUCAGGAGAGGCGAGUGGAAUACCGAGUGUAGAGGUGAAAUUCGUAGAUAUUCGGUGGAACACCAGUGGCGAAGGCGACUCGCUGGACUGAUACUGACGCUGAGGUGCGAAAGCGUGGGGAGCAAACAGG
RNAcentral lists this ribosomal RNA (253 nucleotides) under uncultured prokaryote. RNAcentral's name for it is "partial 16S ribosomal RNA". It matches the Rfam family "Bacterial small subunit ribosomal RNA", at positions 524 to 776 of the family's 1533-position model. The record is from RNAcentral.